UACGGGGGGAGCAAGCGUUGUUCGGAUUUACUGGGCGUAAAGGGCGCGUAGGCGGUCAGCACAAGUCAGUUGUGAAAUCUCCGGGCUUAACUCGGAAAGGUCAACUGAUACUGUGCGACUAGAGUGCAGAAGGGGCAACUGGAAUUCUCGGUGUAGCGGUGAAAUGCGUUGAUAUCGAUAGGAACUCCGGUGGCGAAGGCGGCAUACUGGUCCACUUCUGACGCUGAGGCGCGAAAGCCAGGGGAGCGAACGGG
This 254-nucleotide ribosomal RNA is filed under the name uncultured bacterium. RNAcentral's name for it is "partial 16S ribosomal RNA". It matches the Rfam family "Bacterial small subunit ribosomal RNA", at positions 524 to 776 of the family's 1533-position model. The record is from RNAcentral.